RNAcentral lists this ribosomal RNA (253 nucleotides) under uncultured bacterium. RNAcentral describes it as "partial 16S ribosomal RNA". It matches the Rfam family "Bacterial small subunit ribosomal RNA", at positions 524 to 776 of the family's 1533-position model. The record is from RNAcentral.
GACGAGGGGUCCUAGCGUUGUUCGGAAUCACUGGGCGUAAAGCGUUUGUAGGCGGCUCUAUAAGUCGGGUGUGAAAUCCCACGGCUCAACCGUGGAAGUGCAUUCGAAACUGCAGAGCUUGAAUAUGGUAGAGGAGAGUAGAAUUCCUGGUGUAGUGGUGAAAUACGUAGAUAUCAGGAGGAAUACCGGUGGCGAAGGCGGCUCUCUGGACCAAUAUUGACGCUGAGAAACGAAAGUGCGGGGAUCAAACAGG